GGGGGAUCGAACAGGCUACAAGAGCAGCGGCGGCGGCCGCUCCUUCCCGCCGGCCUCAAUUCUCGUCAGCCGUCCCCGCCGGCCACCCUCACCUACGACCUCCGCUGCCGUUGGUUCAUCUGUAGAAAGGUGUUCGGCAAGCAGAAGGUCGAGCCCGUGGUCAAGGACGAGACUCCGGAGGUGGCGAAGCCGGCAGCAGUUGAGUCUCGCUCAAGGGGCCGGUCGUCUUUGGGGAAACAAAUGUAAUAAAUGAUCUUGGGCGUGUUCUACGGUCGCGAAAACUUGGGACUUCUUUUUGGUCUCGUCAGAAACUAGUAUCGUAUUAUAGGAGUAUCUUACUAGCUGUUCGAAGUAGUGGUGUCAUUGUUUCUUACGUUUGUGUUGAAGCCUGUGCUUUUUGGUCUUUGCAUUGAGGCUUGAGCUGUCAUGAUCUUUAGAUUUAAUAUUUCCACUGGCGAGUAUGAAAUGUUAUGAUUCUUAAUAGCAGAAAGGCUUUCUCACGUUGUUGUGGAAAGACAUUUCUUGAAUGCCAUAGAGUUGGGUUGGUAUA
Molecule: long non-coding RNA, 550 nt
Organism: Panicum virgatum (switchgrass)
Lineage: Eukaryota; Viridiplantae; Streptophyta; Magnoliopsida; Poales; Poaceae
Exons: 2
Source: RefSeq, a predicted model, not a curated record